CCCUGGUUAGCUCAGUUGGUAGAGCGCUCCACCUGUAAUGGAGAGGUCCCGGGUUCGAUACCCGAACCAGGCG
Non-coding RNA from Ixodes scapularis (black-legged tick), 73 nucleotides. The record is from Rfam. NCBI's taxonomy places the organism in Eukaryota, Metazoa, Arthropoda, Arachnida, Ixodida, Ixodidae.